RNAcentral lists this ribosomal RNA (1260 nucleotides) under Lactiplantibacillus plantarum. Its description in RNAcentral is "bacterial SSU rRNA". It matches the Rfam family "Bacterial small subunit ribosomal RNA", at positions 34 to 1279 of the family's 1533-position model. The record is from RNAcentral. Lineage: Bacteria; Bacillati; Bacillota; Bacilli; Lactobacillales; Lactobacillaceae.
CCCCGGGGGGGGGGGGGCCUAUGAUGCAAGUCGUACGAACUCUGGUAUUGAUUGGUGCUUGCAUCAUGAUUUACAUUUGAGUGAGUGGCGAACUGGUGAGUAACACGUGGGAAACCUGCCCAGAAGCGGGGGAUAACACCUGGAAACAGAUGCUAAUACCGCAUAACAACUUGGACCGCAUGGUCCGAGUUUGAAAGAUGGCUUCGGCUAUCACUUUUGGAUGGUCCCGCGGCGUAUUAGCUAGAUGGUGAGGUAACGGCUCACCAUGGCAAUGAUACGUAGCCGACCUGAGAGGGUAAUCGGCCACAUUGGGACUGAGACACGGCCCAAACUCCUACGGGAGGCAGCAGUAGGGAAUCUUCCACAAUGGACGAAAGUCUGAUGGAGCAACGCCGCGUGAGUGAAGAAGGGUUUCGGCUCGUAAAACUCUGUUGUUAAAGAAGAACAUAUCUGAGAGUAACUGUUCAGGUAUUGACGGUAUUUAACCAGAAAGCCACGGCUAACUACGUGCCAGCAGCCGCGGUAAUACGUAGGUGGCAAGCGUUGUCCGGAUUUAUUGGGCGUAAAGCGAGCGCAGGCGGUUUUUUAAGUCUGAUGUGAAAGCCUUCGGCUCAACCGAAGAAGUGCAUCGGAAACUGGGAAACUUGAGUGCAGAAGAGGACAGUGGAACUCCAUGUGUAGCGGUGAAAUGCGUAGAUAUAUGGAAGAACACCAGUGGCGAAGGCGGCUGUCUGGUCUGUAACUGACGCUGAGGCUCGAAAGUAUGGGUAGCAAACAGGAUUAGAUACCCUGGUAGUCCAUACCGUAAACGAUGAAUGCUAAGUGUUGGAGGGUUUCCGCCCUUCAGUGCUGCAGCUAACGCAUUAAGCAUUCCGCCUGGGGAGUACGGCCGCAAGGCUGAAACUCAAAGGAAUUGACGGGGGCCCGCACAAGCGGUGGAGCAUGUGGUUUAUUCGAAGCUACGCGAAGAACCUUACCAGGUCUUGACAUACUAUGCAAAUCUAAGAGAUUAGACGUUCCCUUCGGGACAUGAUACAGGUGGUGCAUGCUGUCGUCAGCUCGUGUCGUGAGAUGUGGGUUAGUCCGCACGAGCGCACCCUUAUUUAUCAGUGCAGCAUAGUGGGCACUCUGGUGAGAACUUGCGGUGACCAUCGGAGUAUGUGGAUGACGUCGAUCCAUCAUGCCUAUGGACUGGCUUACCAGUUAAUGAUGUACACGAGUGGAACCGGAGGAUAGCUAUAUCUCCUUUAAGCCCAAUUC